GGAGCAAAACUCUAAAACCGGUACCCAGUUCGGAUUGCAGGCUGCAACUCGCCUGCAUGAAGUUGGAGUUGCUAGUAAUCGCGGAUCAGAAUGCCGCGGUGAAUGCGUUCCCGGGUCUUGUACACACCGCCCGUCACACCAUGGAAGUUGGGGGCGCCCGAAGUUGGUCAAGAAGAGAUUACCUAAGGCGAAACCAAUGACUGGGGUGAAGUCGUAACAAGGUACC
This 226-nucleotide ribosomal RNA is filed under the name uncultured bacterium. RNAcentral's name for it is "partial 16S ribosomal RNA". It matches the Rfam family "Bacterial small subunit ribosomal RNA", at positions 1264 to 1500 of the family's 1533-position model. The record is from RNAcentral.